Molecule: transfer RNA, 88 nt
Filed under: Porphyromonas crevioricanis
Lineage: Bacteria; Pseudomonadati; Bacteroidota; Bacteroidia; Bacteroidales; Porphyromonadaceae
Also listed under: 1 other name
Description: tRNA_Ser_CGA
Rfam family: tRNA
About the family: Transfer RNA (tRNA) molecules are approximately 80 nucleotides in length. Their secondary structure includes four short double-helical elements and three loops (D, anti-codon, and T loops).
Source: RNAcentral
GGAGGGAUGCCGGAGUGGUCGAUCGGGGCGGUCUCGAAAACCGUUGUGUCUUCGGGCACCCAGGGUUCGAAUCCCUGUCCCUCCGCAA